UACGUAGGGUGCGAGCGUUAAUCGGAAUUACUGGGCGUAAAGCGUGCGCAGGCGGUUUGUUAAGUCCGCUGUGAAAGCCCCGGGCUCAACCUGGGAAUGGCGGUGGAAACUGGCGAGCUAGAGUGUGUCAGAGGGGGGUGGAAUCCUGGUGUAGCGGGUGGAAUGCGCAGAUAUCAGGAGGAACACCGAUGGCGAAGGCAGAUCUCUGGGCCGUAACUGACGCUGAGGCGCGAAAGCGUGGGGAGCAAACAGG
RNAcentral lists this ribosomal RNA (253 nucleotides) under uncultured bacterium. RNAcentral's name for it is "partial 16S ribosomal RNA". It matches the Rfam family "Bacterial small subunit ribosomal RNA", at positions 524 to 776 of the family's 1533-position model. The record is from RNAcentral.